This 1372-nucleotide ribosomal RNA is filed under the name uncultured bacterium. Its description in RNAcentral is "bacterial SSU rRNA". It matches the Rfam family "Bacterial small subunit ribosomal RNA", at positions 28 to 1381 of the family's 1533-position model. The record is from RNAcentral.
GAUGAACGCUGGCGGCGUGCCUAAUACAUGCAAGUCGAGCGAACGGACGAGAAGCUUGCUUUUCUGAUGUUAGCGGCGGACGGGUGAGUAACACGUGGAUAACCUACCUAUAAGACUGGGAUAGCUUCGGGAAACCGGAGCUAAUACCGGAUAAUAUUUUGAACCGCAUGGUUCAAAAGUGAAAGACGGUCUUGCUGUCACUUAUAGAUGGAUCCGCGCUGCAUUAGCUAGUUGGUAAGGUAACGGCUUACCAAGGCAACGAUGCAUAGCCGACCUGAGAGGGUGAUCGGCCACACUGGAACUGAGACACGGUCCAGACUCCUACGGGAGGCAGCAGUAGGGAAUCUUCCGCAAUGGGCGAAAGCCUGACGGAGCAACGCCGCGUGAGUGAUGAAGGUCUUCGGAUCGUAAAACUCUGUUAUUAGGGAAGAACAUAUGUGUAAGUAACUGUGCACAUCUUGGCGGUACCUAAUCAGAAAGCCACGGCUAACUACGUGCCAGCAGCCGCGGUAAUACGUAGGUGGCAAGCGUUAUCCGGAAUUAUUAGGCGUAAAGCGCGCGUAGGCGGUUUUUUAAGUCUGAUGUGAAAGCCCACGGCUCAACCGUGGAGGGUCAUUGGAAGCUGGAAAACUUGAGUGCAGAAGAGGAAAGUGGAAUUCCAUGUGUAGCGGUGAAAUGCGCAGAGAUGUGGAGGAACACCAGUGGCGAAGGCGACUUUCUGGUCUGUAACUGACGCCGAUGUGCGAAAGCGUGGGGAUCAAACAGGAUUAGAUACCCUGGUAGUCCACGCCGUAAACGAUGAGUGCUAAGUGUUAGGGGGUUUCCGCCCCUUAGUGCUGCAGCUAACGCAUUAAGCACUCCGCCUGGGGAGUACGACCGCAAGGUUGAAACUCAAAGGAAUUGACGGGGGCCCGCACAAGCGGUGGAGCAUGUGGUUUAAUUCGAAGCAACGCGAAGAACCUUACCAAAUCUUGACAUCCUUUGACAACUCUAGAGAUAGAGCCUUCCCCUUCGGGGGACAAAGUGACAGGUGGUGCAUGGUUGUCGUCAGCUCGUGUCGUGAGAUGUUGGGUUAAGUCCCGCAACGAGCGCAACCCUUAAGCUUAGUUGCCAUCAUUAAGUUGGGCACUCUAAGUUGACUGCCGGUGACAAACCGGAGGAAGGUGGGGAUGACGUCAAAUCAUCAUGCCCCUUAUGAUUUGGGCUACACACGUGCUACAAUGGACAAUACAAAGGGCAGCGAAACCGCGAGGUCAAGCAAAUCCCAUAAAGUUGUUCUCAGUUCGGAUUGUAGUCUGCAACUCGACUACAUGAAGCUGGAAUCGCUAGUAAUCGUAGAUCAGCAUGCUACGGUGAAUACGUUCCCGGGUCU